Molecule: unclassified non-coding RNA, 3809 nt
Filed under: Penaeus japonicus
Lineage: Eukaryota; Metazoa; Arthropoda; Malacostraca; Decapoda; Penaeidae
Description: uncharacterized LOC122258212, transcript variant X4
Source: RNAcentral
UCACAGUAUAAGCAUUGACUAGUCCUAUCCUGAAGUAUUAUGUGAUUUGCUUUGAAAUAUAUACUGCAAAUCAGAUGUAAUAGUGAAUCGAAAUAAAAACGAUAUAUUUUAGUUAUCCAGUAAUUCUUAACAUUUUCUGUAUCUAGUAUAAUUUCCAUCAACUCCAGAAGAGUUGCCAGGUAAUAAAUGCGGAAACGUAAAAUACUCGUUGCCACUGUGAACAAACAAGUUGUAGAUGACACAGAUAGCCAUUGUGGAUGUCUUUAAAAAAUUGCUGGCCUUUCAGUUCAACACAGAGACCCAUUGCUAGUCGAUGAUGGUACCAGAUCAGUACAAAAGACUGUUUGGACAUCUGAUGCUACCAGUUCCAAGUCCAAGAGAAGUAAAACUAGAAUUUCUAAGGAAUUUGAGAGAGACCACAUGAUAGCUGAACAUGAAGAUGAACAACAAACCAUAAAGCUAAAAGGAGAUGAAGUUCAGGGUAGUAGUCCAUCAAGUAGUACCUGUCAGUGUGGAUCAAAGUAGAACCUUCUCAUGUCUCAUGCUCUGGAGGAGUCUAAUGAUAAAAUUUUUACUAAGCAAGAAUUUGUUUAUAAAGAAGAGGUGUUUGGAUCUGAUGAUGAUAAUGAAAGUCAGACCAUUUAUCCUCUUCCUGAUGUCACUAAUGAAUCAUCAGUGUCUGACUGUUCACCACUCAAUAAAUCUCCUGUGGAAACAAAACUGAACAGCAUAAACCAAAUUGGCCCUUUUGACACUAAACCAAAUACCACAAUGAAUACAGGCAGUCUUGAAGGAAAAGAAGAAACAUUGUGAGUAUAAACAAAGUGUCUGUAUAAGGAAGUUCAGCUUCAUUGUUUAUGUGAAUAUAAGAUUAUGUGUUGUUCCCUAAAUUGCCCCAUAUAAGUACAGCUUAAUUUCAUGCUCGUGCACUAACUCAUCUCUCACUCACUUUAUGAUUUUCCCAUCAAAAUUCUUUAUAAAGAAUAGCAUUUCCUAAUGUAGAUUUAUCAACACAGCACUAUAGAUAUUGAGAAUGUUUAUCACUCAUAAUUACUUCCACUGAUAUAAGAUGCCUAAAAAAAAAUUGUCCUACUACCAUACAUCCCAAUACCCACUGUCCUUGAUGAGUUAAGAAUUUAAGGGCUGCGACUGUAGGAACAGGAUUUAGAGUAAGUUUUAGGAGCAAAGAUAAAUCAGGACAGGUGAAACAAAAUGUGUAACCCCAAUUCCCAUCUUAAAAAUGUGACCAUAUUUUAGUUGAUUUUGAAUGACAUUCUGCAUCCUCAAUACCUACCAAGAAGCCUCCUUAUUUGCAAAAAAUAGAUACUCAUGGAUUCAGUAUUAUGGAGGAAGUAAGAUAUGGAUUGGUAGUUGAAAAUAUUAAUCUCUUGCGGAUGGGGGAUAGAUUUACUUGCCCAGUCUUCUGGAUGGGUUUUCUUUCAGAGUGAGGCAACGUCAAGCAACACACUUUCAGUUUUCCCACUUUCUUUCAGUCCUUCAUUGUAAUACUAGGGCCAUUUUUGUGAUUGAAUUUUUGUUUUUUAAUUGUAUUGAAAGACUUAAGGUGUCAUAUGACAGGCUCUGUUAGUGCUGCAGUUGCCAAAAAAGGGAGUAUAGGGUCCAUAUCAGCUCAAUAUUGACUUUAUACUCAGUGUGAUAGAAGUAUUGCUGUUUAAUGGGAGGACAAAAAGCAACUUUAUUUUUUUGUAUUCGUGUACUGUUAUGAAUGAAUAUAAAACAUAUAACUAUUUACAAUGAAGACAACAUGAAGAGGUAGGGAAGACAAAGGAAACAUGUGCUUAUGACUGUGAAUGCCACUGUGAAAGGCAUUCCUAUGGGCACAGGGGCACAUUGUAGACACUGGGCAUGGUUUGAGUUACCUUCCUCUUCUCAUACUGCCUGUACAUCCUUCAUCAGCGGUACUUUAGAGCAAGAGGUCAGUAACUUGUGUACCAUUGUUCUGUAAAGAUAGUGCUUGCUAGAGACCAUUGAUGGGUGCUAUCCAAGGCUCUCUCACUUGGUGGUGCUAGAAGAAAGUGGUGCCAUCUAACUUUUGGAUGUUAGGUUUGUUAAAUAUUACAGUAAUUAUAGUAAUUAUGGCUGCAAUUGUCAUCAACACUCACUCCUUAUUCAUAGCUCAAUAAAAUAGUACAGUGAUCUAAAAUGCCUGAAUGUCAUGUACGUCAUAACACCUGUCUUAAGUCCAAUGUUCCUGCAUCCUGUAUGUCAUGACAACUGUCCACAAUGAUAAAUAAUGAUAAAAAUAUCCUAUUCACUGUUGCCAUGUUACUGGAACAUCAUCAUUGUUUUUAUAGUAGAUCACGCAAGAUAUAUUAUUCUGCCAGCUUUACGGAACAUUGGUUCUUAUAAAUGUAGGCAUAAAUCUAAGAAGACAACACUUUAAUAAAUCAUUUGUUUAUUGAGUGAUGUAGAGAACAAAGCCAUGGAAGUAACUGUGGUUAUAUGUGUCACACCAAAACAUUAAUUUAAAAUUAAUUGUAAUUGCAGAGUACAGACUGCAUCCAAGCAAAGAGGAGAAUGUCAAAGGACCUGAUAGAAGAUAUGCUACCUUCUAUCUUUAACCACAAAGGGAUAACAUGCAAUUUUAAGUCAGAUAAUAACAUUCCUGGUUUCAACUUAAUAAUUGAUACUACAAUAACAGCAAUGGAAGACAUGAGAUGCUGGCUGAAAGAAUUUAGCAAGUGAACAUGCACAAACUGGAAAUACAGAUAUGGGGUGGGCUCACCCAACAGUUCAUGUAAAGUUAUGUUUGCCUGUAAUGGCUUAUUGGAAGCUAAAAGAGAAAAAACAAAGGAAAGUAUAAUUGCAAAGUUCACAUUUACAUCAAACUGUAUGAGGAGAAUAUUAAGAAGAUAGGUACCAUACCAGGUUUCUCUUAAAAAAAUACCCCUGUCAGCUAGAAGUGAUUAUAACUUUUAUUCAUUAUUUCUGUGAGGGACACCUCCAGAAAGUGCCUUUAAUUAUCAUUAAACUAGGCUUUGACUAAUAGACUUGGCUACUGAGUCAUUGGUGAUUCACAAAAUCUGAAGUUAAGAACAGUUAGAUUCAUGUAGGAGUCAUGGAGAAAAGAAAAAAGACAAAAAUCACUAAGAACUAAACCAAAAUGUAGUGACAAAGCAUCUCUGUAUGAUGCUAUUACUGAAAGAAUGCAAAAAAAUAAAGCUUGAUAGGAAAGAAUAUCUUAUAGUGAAAAAUGUGGACAUAAUUCAUAUGAAGCGAGGCUUACAACUUGAUCCUGCCAUCACUUGUGGAGAUGACAAUGGGAAUAAAACAUGUGACUUGUGCCACAGCUUUUAGAGUGUUACCUUCAAGUAUGAUUAUCAUGGACAAUGUAACAUGUGAUUAUACAGUUGUUUUAAAAAAAAAAAAAAGCUGGUCAGGGCAAAAGCAUUUUAAAGUAUAUUUAUUAUUGUUGGUGCUUUUGUAUCUUGCAAACAGGCUUUGAAGGUCUGUUAUCCUGGGAGUCAGAUAUGGGGAUGGCUUAGUAAAAUAUCAGACGGUAUUAAAGAACAGGAUAGAACUACUCUUAUAGGCCUUGUAGAAAAUGUUCUUAAUGAUCCAACACAAAAUGAGUAAACUGACAUACAAAAUGAUGUUAGCACACAACAUAUUCAAACAGUAUAGUGUUUUCAAGACAGGAGAGGAGAUGUUAGAUUAUUGUAUAAGUUGCCUAUACUCAGUAAGGAAUGUAAUGACUUUUCCAAAAGAAUAUUUAUUAAUGCCAUCCUGAACAGAUGUAUUGCAGUAGAGUAGUGUUUCCAGCAGAGAAUAAAAGCAUUCAUAGUGAA